RNAcentral lists this ribosomal RNA (497 nucleotides) under uncultured bacterium. RNAcentral describes it as "partial 16S ribosomal RNA". It matches the Rfam family "Bacterial small subunit ribosomal RNA", at positions 28 to 507 of the family's 1533-position model. The record is from RNAcentral.
GACGAACGCUGGCGGCGUGCCUAAUACAUGCAAGUUGAGCGAUGAAGAUUGGUGCUUGCACCAAUUUGAAGAGCAGCGAACGGGUGAGUAACGCGUGGGGAAUCUGCCUUUGAGCGGGGGACAACAUUUGGAAACGAAUGCUAAUACCGCAUAACAACUUUAAACAUAAGUUUUAAGUUUGAAAGAUGCAAUUGCAUCACUCAAAGAUGAUCCCGCGUUGUAUUAGCUAGUUGGUGAGGUAAAGGCUCACCAAGGCGAUGAUACAUAGCCGACCUGAGAGGGUGAUUGGCCACAUUGGGACUGGGACGCGGCCCGAAGUCCUUCUGGAGGCAGCAGUAGGGAAUCUUCGGAAAUGGACGACAGUCAGACCGAGCAACGCCGCGUGAGUGAAGAAGGUUUUCGGAUCGUAAAACACUGUUGGUAGAGAAGAACGUUGGUGAGAGUGGAAAGCUCAUCAAGUGACGGUAACUACCCAGAAAGGGACGGCUAACUACGUG